RNAcentral lists this ribosomal RNA (658 nucleotides) under Enterococcus faecium. RNAcentral's name for it is "bacterial SSU rRNA". It matches the Rfam family "Bacterial small subunit ribosomal RNA", at positions 23 to 652 of the family's 1533-position model. The record is from RNAcentral. Lineage: Bacteria; Bacillati; Bacillota; Bacilli; Lactobacillales; Enterococcaceae.
CUCAGGACGAACGCUGGCGGCGUGCCUAAUACAUGCAAGUCGAACGCUUCUUUUUCCACCGGAGCUUGCUCCACCGGAAAAAGAGGAGUGGCGAACGGGUGAGUAACACGUGGGUAACCUGCCCAUCAGAAGGGGAUAACACUUGGAAACAGGUGCUAAUACCGUAUAACAAUCGAAACCGCAUGGUUUUGAUUUGAAAGGCGCUUUCGGGUGUCGCUGAUGGAUGGACCCGCGGUGCAUUAGCUAGUUGGUGAGGUAACGGCUCACCAAGGCCACGAUGCAUAGCCGACCUGAGAGGGUGAUCGGCCACAUUGGGACUGAGACACGGCCCAAACUCCUACGGGAGGCAGCAGUAGGGAAUCUUCGGCAAUGGACGAAAGUCUGACCGAGCAACGCCGCGUGAGUGAAGAAGGUUUUCGGAUCGUAAAACUCUGUUGUUAGAGAAGAACAAGGAUGAGAGUAACUGUUCAUCCCUUGACGGUAUCUAACCAGAAAGCCACGGCUAACUACGUGCCAGCAGCCGCGGUAAUACGUAGGUGGCAAGCGUUGUCCGGAUUUAUUGGGCGUAAAGCGAGCGCAGGCGGUUUCUUAAGUCUGAUGUGAAAGCCCCCGGCUCAACCGGGGAGGGUCAUUGGAAACUGGGAGACUUGAGUGCAGA